GCAUCGGGAGUAAGCUGGCACUAGAAGAGCGGAGUGUGCACACUGGGGUGGCAUUAGGAGGUCAGCGGGGCGAGGGUGGAAGUGCUCUGCAGGCAGGCCCCGUGCUUGAUUACGACUGGCGUACUCUCCCAACUGCUUUGUACGGUGUGCGGCGUGGAGUCGGCCCUCAAUAGAUGACCAACCGAUGGACUGAGGAGAGCCAGGGGUGAGGCGGGGUAGGAGCAAUGCCUGAAGGCUGAACAGACGGGCCGGGUUUCAGACGCCCUGAAGGCAGCGAGCCGUGCCGGUCCCGUCCCUCCCGGCAGAGUCGGUGGGGCGUCCAGACGGCGGCCUGACCAGCGG
Ornithorhynchus anatinus (platypus) is the source of this 342-nucleotide long non-coding RNA. RefSeq lists it as uncharacterized. The transcript is spliced from 4 exons. The record is from RefSeq and is a predicted model, not a curated record. NCBI's taxonomy places the organism in Eukaryota, Metazoa, Chordata, Mammalia, Monotremata, Ornithorhynchidae.